AUUGAACGCUGGCGGCAGGCUUAACACAUGCAAGUCGAGCGAGCGGCGGACGGGUGAGUAAUGUCUGGGAAACUGCCUGAUGGAGGGGGAUAACUACUGGAAACGGUAGCUAAUACCGCAUACCAUCAGAUGUGCCCAGAUGGGAUUAGCUAGUAGGUGGGGUAAUGGCUCACCUAGGCGACGAUCCCUAGCUGGUCUGAGAGGAUGACCAGCAACAUUGUAAAGGAGACACGGUCCAGACUCCUACGGGAGGCAGCAGUGGGGAAUAUUGCACAAUGGUAGCAAGCCUGAUGCAGCCAUGCCGCGGGUUUGAAGAAGGCCUUAGGGUUGUAAAGCACGUUCAGCGAGGAGGCGUUACUCUCAGAAGAAGCACCGGCUAACUCAGUGCCAGCAGCCGCGGUAAUAC
RNAcentral lists this ribosomal RNA (406 nucleotides) under uncultured bacterium. RNAcentral's name for it is "partial 16S ribosomal RNA". It matches the Rfam family "Bacterial small subunit ribosomal RNA", at positions 30 to 526 of the family's 1533-position model. The record is from RNAcentral.